This 372-nucleotide ribosomal RNA is filed under the name uncultured organism. RNAcentral's name for it is "bacterial SSU rRNA". It matches the Rfam family "Bacterial small subunit ribosomal RNA", at positions 526 to 896 of the family's 1533-position model. The record is from RNAcentral.
CAGAGGUCUCAACCGUUGUUCGGAUUCAUUGGGCGUAAAGGGUGCGUAGGCGGCGGAGUAAGUCAGGUGUGAAAUCUCGGGGCUCAACCCCGAAACUGCACUUGAUACUGCUUCGCUCAAGUACUGGAGAGGAGACUGGAAUUUACGGUGUAGCAGUGAAAUGCGUAGAUAUCGUAAGGAAGACCAGUGGCGAAGGCGAGUCUCUGGACAGUUACUGACGCUGAGGCACGAAGGCCAGGGGAGCAAACGGGAUUAGAUACCCCGGUAGUCCUGGCAGUAAACGGUGCACGUUUGGUGUGGGAGGAUUCGACCCCUUCCGUGCCGGAGCUAACGCGUUAAACGUGCCGCCUGGGAAGUACGGUCGCAAGAUUA